RNAcentral lists this transfer RNA (59 nucleotides) under Camelus bactrianus (Bactrian camel). It matches the Rfam family "tRNA", at positions 7 to 64 of the family's 71-position model. From Rfam's summary of the family: Transfer RNA (tRNA) molecules are approximately 80 nucleotides in length. Their secondary structure includes four short double-helical elements and three loops (D, anti-codon, and T loops). Further hydrogen bonds mediate the characteristic L-shaped molecular structure. tRNAs have two regions of fundamental functional importance: the anti-codon, which is responsible for specific mRNA codon recognition, and the 3' end, to which the tRNAs corresponding amino acid is attached (by aminoacyl-tRNA synthetases). tRNAs cope with the degeneracy of the genetic code in two manners: having more than one tRNA (with a specific anti-codon) for a particular amino acid; and 'wobble' base-pairing, i.e. permitting non-standard base-pairing at the 3rd anti-codon position. The record is from Rfam by way of RNAcentral. RNAcentral also lists the same sequence under 2 other names. Lineage: Eukaryota; Metazoa; Chordata; Mammalia; Artiodactyla; Camelidae.
AUAGCUCAGUGGUAGAGUGCAUGCUUAGCAUGCCUGAGGUCCUGGGUUCAAUCCCCAGU